RNAcentral lists this ribosomal RNA (654 nucleotides) under uncultured bacterium. RNAcentral's name for it is "bacterial SSU rRNA". It matches the Rfam family "Bacterial small subunit ribosomal RNA", at positions 9 to 649 of the family's 1533-position model. The record is from RNAcentral.
GAGUUUGAUCCUGGCUCAGGAUGAGCGCUGGCGGCGUGCUUAACACAUGCAAGUCGAACGGGGCCACCAUUUUUGAAGCGAUUAGCUUGCUAAGAGUGGAAAUGUUGGCGGCUUAGUGGCGGACGGGUGAGUAACGCGUGGGUAACCUGCCAUAUACAGGGGGAUAACACUUAGAAAUAGGUGCUAAUACCGCAUAAGCGCACGGAGCUGCAUGGCUCAGUGUGAAAAACUCCGGUGGUAUAUGAUGGACCCGCGUCUGAUUAGCUUGUUGGCGGGGUAACGGCCCACCAAGGCGACGAUCAGUAGCCGGCCUGAGAGGGUGGACGGCCACAUUGGGACUGAGACACGGCCCAAACUCCUACGGGAGGCAGCAGUGGGGAAUAUUGGACAAUGGGGGGAACCCUGAUCCAGCGACGCCGCGUGAGUGAAGAAGUAUCUCGGUAUGUAAAGCUCUAUCAGCAGGGAAGAAAGAAAUGACGGUACCUGACCAAGAAGCCCCGGCUAACUACGUGCCAGCAGCCGCGGUAAUACGUAGGGGGCAAGCGUUAUCCGGAUUUACUGGGUGUAAAGGGAGCGUAGACGGUAAUGCAAGUCUGGAGUGAAAUGCAGGGGCUCAACCCCUGAACUGCUUUGGAAACUGUAUGACUGGAGUGC